GAUGAACGCUGGCGGCGUGCUUAACACAUGCAAGUCGAACGAUGAAGCCCAGCUUGCUGGGUGGGUUAGUGGCGAACGGGUGAGUAACACGUGAGUAACCUGCCCUUAACUCUGGGAUAAGCCUGGGAAACUGGGUGUAAUACCGGAUAGGAGCGUCCACCGCAUGGUGGGGGUUGGGAAGAUUUAUCGGUUUUGGAUGGACUCGCGGCCUAUCAGCUUGUUGGUGAGGUAAUGGCUCACCAAGGCGACGACGGGUAGCCGGCCUGAGAGGGUGACCGGCCACACUGGGACUGAGACACGGCCCAGACUCCUACGGGAGGCAGCAGUGGGGAAUAUUGCACAAUGGGCGAAAGCCUGAUGCAGCGACGCCGCGUGAGGGAUGACGGCCUUCGGGUUGUAAACCUCUUUCAGUAGGGAAGAAGCGAAAGUGACGGUACCUGCAGAAGAAGCACCGGCUAACUACGUG
Molecule: ribosomal RNA, 466 nt
Filed under: uncultured bacterium
Lineage: Bacteria
Description: partial 16S ribosomal RNA
Rfam family: Bacterial small subunit ribosomal RNA
Source: RNAcentral